CGGAAAAAUGCCCGUAUGCUAAUAACCGCAUACCGCCCUACGGGGGAAAGCAGGGGAUCGCAAGACCUUGCACUAUUGGAGCGGCCGAUAUCGGAUUAGCUAGUUGGUGGGGUAACGGCUCACCAAGGCGACGAUCCGUAGCUGGUUUGAGAGGACGACCAGCCACACUGGGACUGAGACACGGCCCAGACUCCUACGGGAGGCAGCAGUGGGGAAUUUUGGACAAUGGGGGAAACCCUGAUCCAGCCAUCCCCCGUGUCGAUGAAGGCCUUCGGGUUGUAAAGCACUUUUGGCAGGAAAGAAACGUCGCGGGUUAAUACCCCGCGAAACUGACGGUACCUGCAGAAUAAGCACCGGCUAACUACUGCCAGCAGCCGCGCAUACGAGGGUGCAAGCCUUAACCGGAAUUACUGGGCGUAAACGGCCCGGCGGUCCGAAGGAAAGAGUUAAAUCCCGGAGCUAACUUUGGCCUGCAUUUUAAUUCCGGGCUAGAGUGUGGCAGA
This 503-nucleotide ribosomal RNA is filed under the name Achromobacter piechaudii. RNAcentral's name for it is "bacterial SSU rRNA". It matches the Rfam family "Bacterial small subunit ribosomal RNA", at positions 139 to 655 of the family's 1533-position model. Lineage: Bacteria; Pseudomonadati; Pseudomonadota; Betaproteobacteria; Burkholderiales; Alcaligenaceae. The record is from RNAcentral.